This 575-nucleotide ribosomal RNA is filed under the name uncultured Hydrogenophilaceae bacterium. RNAcentral's name for it is "bacterial SSU rRNA". It matches the Rfam family "Bacterial small subunit ribosomal RNA", at positions 329 to 916 of the family's 1533-position model. Lineage: Bacteria; Pseudomonadati; Pseudomonadota; Hydrogenophilia; Hydrogenophilales; Hydrogenophilaceae. The record is from RNAcentral.
GCCCUUACUCCUACGGGAGGCAGCAGUGGGGAAUAUUGCACAAUGGGCGAAAGCCUGAUGCAGCGACGCCGCGUGAGGGAUGACGGCCUUCGGGUUGUAAACCUCUUUCAGCAGGGACGAAGCGAAAGUGACGGUACCUGCAGAAGAAGCACCGGCCAACUACGUGCCAGCAGCCGCGGUAAUACGUAGGGUGCGAGCGUUAAUCGGAAUUACUGGGCGUAAAGCGUGCGCAGGCGGUUUUGUAAGCCAGAUGUGAAAUCCCCGGGCUUAACCUGGGAAUGGCAUUUGGGACUGCAAGGCUGGAGUAUGGCAGAGGGGACUAGAAUUCCUGGUGUAGCAGUGAAAUGCGUAGAUAUCAGGAGGAAUACCGAUGGCGAAGGCAGGUCCCUGGGCUGAUACUGACGCUCAUGCACGAAAGCGUGGGGAGCAAACAGGAUUAGAUACCCUGGUAGUCCACGCCCUAAACGAUGUCGACUGGUUGUUGGGGGUUUGACACUCUCAGUAACGAAGCUAACGCGUGAAGUCGACCGCCUGGGGAGUACGGUCGCAAGAUUAAAACUCAAAUGAAUUGACGG